This 68-nucleotide transfer RNA is filed under the name Holotrichia oblita. Its description in RNAcentral is "tRNA-Ser". Lineage: Eukaryota; Metazoa; Arthropoda; Insecta; Coleoptera; Scarabaeidae. The record is from RNAcentral.
GAAAUAGGGAACCACAAGGAUGAGCUUCUAACUCGAUCCUUUAGCAGCGAAACUCUGUUAAUAUUUCU